CGCAGCCGCGGUAAUUCCAGCUCCAAUAGCGUAUAUUAAAGUUGUUGCAGUUAAAAAGCUCGUAGUUGAAUUUCGGGGUCAGUAGGUCGGUCGUGCCACUGGUAUGAACUGGUUUUACUGAUUCCUCCCUCUUGAAGAACUGUAAUGCCAUUAAUUUGGUGUUGCAGGGAAUCAGGACUGUUACUUUGAAAAAAUUAGAGUGUUUAAAGCAGGCUUUAGCUUGAAUACAUUAGCAUGGAAUAAUGAAAUAGGACGUUUGAUCCUAUUUUGUUGGUUUCUAGGAUUGACGUAAUGAUUAAUAGGGAUAGUUGGGGGCAUUAGUAUUCAAUUGUCAGAGGUGAAAUUCUUGGAUUUAUUGAAGACUAACUACUGCGAAAGCAUUUGCCAAGGAUGUUUUCAUUAAUCAAGAACGAAAGUUAGGGGAUCGAAGACGAUCAGAUACCGUCGUAGUCUUAACCAUAAACUAUGCCGACUAGGGAUCGGAUGAUGUUAAUUUUUUAAUGACUCA
This 508-nucleotide ribosomal RNA is filed under the name Glomus sp. MO-G2. Its description in RNAcentral is "SSU rRNA". It matches the Rfam family "Eukaryotic small subunit ribosomal RNA", at positions 569 to 1078 of the family's 1831-position model. Lineage: Eukaryota; Fungi; Glomeromycota; Glomeromycetes; Glomerales; Glomeraceae. The record is from RNAcentral.